Molecule: ribosomal RNA, 401 nt
Filed under: uncultured Choanoflagellida
Lineage: Eukaryota; Choanoflagellata
Description: partial small subunit ribosomal RNA
Rfam family: Eukaryotic small subunit ribosomal RNA
Source: RNAcentral
GCUUGUCUCAAAGAUUAAGCCAUGCAUGUCUAAGUGUAAAUAAGUCUAUACUGUGAAACUGCGAAUGGCUCAUUAAAUCAGUUAUCGUUUAUUUGAUGAUCUCUUACUACUUGGAUAACCGUGGUAAUUCUAGAGCUAAUACAUGCGAAAAAGCCCGACUUCUGGAAGGGUUGUAUUUAUUAGAUAAAAAACCAAUCGGGGCAACCCGUUUGUGGUGAUUCAUAAUAACUUUGCGAAUCGUAUGGCCUUGUGCCGACGAUGAAUCAUUCAAAUUUCUGCCCUAUCAACUUUCGAUGGUAAGGUAUUGGCUUACCAUGGUUGCAACGGGUGACGGGGAAUUAGGGUUCGAUUCCGGAGAGGGAGCCUGAGAAAUGGCUACCACAUCCAAGGAAGGCAGCAGG